Molecule: unclassified non-coding RNA, 293 nt
Filed under: Hevea brasiliensis (rubber tree)
Lineage: Eukaryota; Viridiplantae; Streptophyta; Magnoliopsida; Malpighiales; Euphorbiaceae
Source: RNAcentral
GGAAAUAUUUCAUAUGCAUUCAACAGCUACUACCAGAUAAACAAUCAGCUUGAUGAUGCUUGCAAGUUCUCUGGCCUCGCAACUGUCACAAAGUCAGAUCCAUCAACUGGUACUUGUCGAUUUGGGCUCAUGAUAGAACCAUACUACGGAGGUGCUCAACCAAAAUAUGGCUAUACUAAGACGACAUUGGCUCUCAUCCUCUUUCUGUGGACAAUUGUGUAACAAUAUUUUUUUCUGGCUAUUUAGUUCGAUUGUUGACCCUGCCUGCCUGCUAUGUAAUGUAGCUAUUACCA